GACUGAGUGGUCUAAUGGAUAAGACAUCGAACUUCGAAUCAGAAGAUUGAGGUUUCGAGUUCCUUCAUGGUCG
This 73-nucleotide transfer RNA is filed under the name Salmo salar (Atlantic salmon). It matches the Rfam family "tRNA". Rfam says of the family: Transfer RNA (tRNA) molecules are approximately 80 nucleotides in length. Their secondary structure includes four short double-helical elements and three loops (D, anti-codon, and T loops). Further hydrogen bonds mediate the characteristic L-shaped molecular structure. tRNAs have two regions of fundamental functional importance: the anti-codon, which is responsible for specific mRNA codon recognition, and the 3' end, to which the tRNAs corresponding amino acid is attached (by aminoacyl-tRNA synthetases). tRNAs cope with the degeneracy of the genetic code in two manners: having more than one tRNA (with a specific anti-codon) for a particular amino acid; and 'wobble' base-pairing, i.e. permitting non-standard base-pairing at the 3rd anti-codon position. The record is from Rfam by way of RNAcentral. Lineage: Eukaryota; Metazoa; Chordata; Actinopteri; Salmoniformes; Salmonidae.